Molecule: ribosomal RNA, 495 nt
Filed under: uncultured bacterium
Lineage: Bacteria
Description: partial 16S ribosomal RNA
Rfam family: Bacterial small subunit ribosomal RNA
Source: RNAcentral
GACGAACGCUGGCGGCGUGCCUAAUACAUGCAAGUAGAACGCUGAAGGAGGAGCUUGCUUCUCUGGAUGAGUUGCGAACGGGUGAGUAACGCGUAGGUAACCUGCCUGGUAGCGGGGGAUAACUAUUGGAAACGAUAGCUAAUACCGCAUAAUAUUGACUAUUGCAUGAUAGUCAGUUGAAAGGUGCAACCGCACUACUACCAGAUGGACCUGCGUUGUAUUAGCUAGUUGGUGGGGUAACGGCUCACCAAGGCGACGAUACAUAGCCGACCUGAGAGGGUGAUCGGCCACACUGGGACUGGGACACGGCCCAGACUCCUACGGGAGGCAGCAGUAGGGAAUCUUCGGCAAUGGACGGAAGGCUGACCGAGCAACGCCGCGGGAGUGAAGAAGGUUUUCGGAUCGUAAAGCUCUGUUGUAAGGGAAGAACGAGUGUGAGAGUGGAAAGCUCACACUGUGACGGUAUCUUACCAGAAAGGGACGGCUAACUACGUG